GACAGAGGGUGCAAACGUUGUUCGGAAUUACUGGGCGUAAAGGGCGCGUAGGCGGACAGUUUAGUCAGAGGUGAAAGCCCAGGGCUCAACCUUGGAACUGCCUUUGAUACUGGCUGUCUUGAGUUCGGGAGAGGUGAGUGGAAUGCCGAGUGUAGAGGUGAAAUUCGUAGAUAUUCGGCGGAACACCAGUGGCGAAGGCGACUCACUGGCCCGAUACUGACGCUGAGGCGCGAAAGCGUGGGGAGCAAACAGG
RNAcentral lists this ribosomal RNA (253 nucleotides) under uncultured bacterium. RNAcentral's name for it is "partial 16S ribosomal RNA". It matches the Rfam family "Bacterial small subunit ribosomal RNA", at positions 524 to 776 of the family's 1533-position model. The record is from RNAcentral.